UGCCCAAGAGAUCGGGAUAACACCUGGAAACAGAUGCUAAUACCGGAUAACAACAGAUGAUGCCUAUCAACUGUUUAAAAGAUGGUUCUGCUAUCACUCUUGGAUGGACCUGCGGUGCAUUAGCUAGUUGGUAGGGUAACGGCCUACCAAGGCGAUGAUGCAUAGCCGAGUUGAGAGACUGAUCGGCCACAUUGGGACUGAGACACGGCCCAAACUCCUACGGGAGGCAGCAGUG
This 235-nucleotide ribosomal RNA is filed under the name uncultured Lactobacillus sp. RNAcentral's name for it is "partial 16S ribosomal RNA". It matches the Rfam family "Bacterial small subunit ribosomal RNA", at positions 127 to 356 of the family's 1533-position model. The record is from RNAcentral. Lineage: Bacteria; Bacillati; Bacillota; Bacilli; Lactobacillales; Lactobacillaceae.